UACGUAGGGUGCGAGCGUUUAAUCGGAAUUACUGGGCGUAAAGCGUGCGCAGGCGGUUUUGCAAGACCGAUGUGAAAUCCCCGGGCUCAACCUGGGAACUGCAUUUGUGACUGCAUCGCUGGAGUGCGGCAGAGGGGGAUGGAAUUCCGCGUGUAGCAGUGAAAUGCGUAGAUAUGCGGAGGAACACCGAUGGCGAAGGCAAUCCCCUGGGCCUGCACUGACGCUCAUGCACGAAAGCGUGGGGAGCAAACAGG
RNAcentral lists this ribosomal RNA (254 nucleotides) under uncultured bacterium. RNAcentral describes it as "partial 16S ribosomal RNA". It matches the Rfam family "Bacterial small subunit ribosomal RNA", at positions 524 to 776 of the family's 1533-position model. The record is from RNAcentral.